GGGCGUUAAGUUGCAGGGUAUAGACCCGAAACCCGGUGAUCUAGCCAUGGGCAGGUUGAAGGUUGGGUAACACUAACUGGAGGACCGAACCGACUAAUGUUGAAAAAUUAGCGGAUGACCUGUGGCUGGGGGUGAAAGGCCAAUCAAACCGGGAGAUAGCUGGUUCUCCCCGAAAGCUAUUUAGGUAGCGCCUCGUGAAUUCAUCUCCGGGGGUAGAGCACUGUUUCGGCUAGGGGG
RNAcentral lists this ribosomal RNA (237 nucleotides) under Salmonella enterica subsp. enterica serovar Agona. RNAcentral describes it as "partial 23S ribosomal RNA". It matches the Rfam family "Bacterial large subunit ribosomal RNA", at positions 690 to 926 of the family's 2925-position model. Lineage: Bacteria; Pseudomonadati; Pseudomonadota; Gammaproteobacteria; Enterobacterales; Enterobacteriaceae. The record is from RNAcentral.